CCUACGGGAGGCAGCAGUGAGGAAUAUUGGUCAAUGGGCGAGAGCCUGAACCAGCCAAGUCGCGUGAGGGAGUACUGCCCUAUGGGUUGUAAACCUCUUUUGUCGGGGAGCAAAAGCCGGACGUGUCCGGCUGUGAGAGUACCCGAAGAAAAAGCAUCGGCUAACUCCGUGCCAGCAGCCGCGGUAAUACGGAGGAUGCGAGCGUUAUCCGGAUUUAUUGGGUUUAAAGGGUGCGGAGGGGGAUUUUUAAGUCAGCGGUAAAAUCGUGGGGUUCAACCCCAUCCAGCCGUUGAAACUGGGGAUCUAGAGUGUGCGAGAGGUAUGCGGAAUGCGUGGUGUAGCGGUGAAAUGCAUAGAUAUCACGCAGAACCCCGAUUGCGAAGGCAGCAUACCGGUGCACAACUGACGCUCAGGCACGAAAGCGUGGGUAUCGAACAGGAUUAGAUACCCCAGUAGUC
RNAcentral lists this ribosomal RNA (458 nucleotides) under uncultured bacterium. RNAcentral describes it as "partial 16S ribosomal RNA". It matches the Rfam family "Bacterial small subunit ribosomal RNA", at positions 338 to 795 of the family's 1533-position model. The record is from RNAcentral.